Long non-coding RNA from Ictalurus punctatus (channel catfish), 1913 nucleotides. Lineage: Eukaryota; Metazoa; Chordata; Actinopteri; Siluriformes; Ictaluridae. The record is from Ensembl.
CAGGUUUUCACAAGGGCAGUUUUCACAUGUUUUUGUUGAUCCAUGUUGAAGUUAAUAUAUAAAAUGUGAGAAUAUUCGCUUUCAUUUUUGCAUUCUCUCAUCAAAUAAAACGCCGUUAACUAAUAUUCGAUGAUAUUUUAGUCCGAGUCUAAUUGACUAAAAUGAAUAAAUAUGACGACCAAAAACUGACUAAAUUUAAAGGAUAUUUUUGCCAGAGGAAAUUAAACAAAACAUUUUUCGCCAUACCAAUUCCAGUGUCUGAAUAUUCUUAAGAAUUAAAAGUUCUUUGCACUUUGAAAGGGUGUACUUGCAUUAUUCUGUUAUUAUAUUAUCAUUAUAGCAGUGGAAUAAAAUGGUCUUAAAAUUGCAAUAAUAUCGUUUAUCGCAAUUAUUUCUGAGACAAUAUAUCGUCCAACAAAAGUGGUUAUCGUGUAGUGAACAUUGAACAGAACUUGUAGCUGAUGUCAUCCAGCACAGAAGAAUCACUAGAACACUUGGGUUUCAGCCAGAGGUGUGCACAUUGUUAACCAUUUAAAGUGUCAGUACUUGAAUCGUGAAAUCAGUGUCUGGUAGGUGAAAUAGUGUCUGGUAGGUAUAGUGAAUCAUGAAAUCAGUGUCUGGUAGAUGAAACAGUGUCUGGUAGGUAUAGUGAAUCGUGAAAUCAGUGUCUGGUAGGUGAAAUAGUGUCUGGCAGGUAUAGUGAAUCGUGAAAUCAGUGUCUGGUAGGUCUGUCGCGAUACCUAAAACUCGAUACGAUACAAUAACUGAAACUUAAUAAUGGCACGAAAUAAAAGACCGCGAAUUAAACAUUAGUCAAACCUUUCAAGGGGGUGUGUCUGAAGCGCGAGGCUUUUCCCGUUCUAACGUUUGUUAGUUGUUCUAUCAGAGUCACGCAGCUCUCUGUAGCCUUGGACGUGUUUUUGAAUCUUGUGUUCUGCACUACCAUAUACGGACUUUCCCAUCGCCAUGGUGAUUUCUUUAAUCUAGAUUGAAUAAGCAAGAAAAGCAGCAAAAAGUUUGUUUUGUGUGUGUUGCUUCAAGUUUACGUUUAGUUUUAUACACUGGCACAGAAGAGUGAUCUAGGGUGCGCCUCAAUCAGCACCCAAGUAGUCAGAAGUCAGGGCAACGAUCAGGGACUCGGCCAUUUUAAAGGCUGUCUCAAUUGCAAAAUCCUUCCGGUGCCCUGGAAUGUUUGGUCCCUAAAAAAAUCCCACAAUGCACCGCAAAAACCAAGAAGCAUCGAUGCUCACUAUGUUCCCUAACUGGAAAAGAUAUUGGUCCUGCCUGCUGUUGAUAAAUGCCAGUGGUGACGUUUUACAACCAUGUCACAGGGAACCGGGUCAUCGGUGUCCCAAUGUUUAAUGAGCCAGGGUCCUUACCAGUGCACGAACCCGUGUACACCAUAUACUGAUUCAUGACCUACAGAGCUGAUUGAGAUGCACCCAUAGAUUCGGUACACUGUAAACUCACCAGGAUGCCAAAGCGCUCUCAAAUGCCAAACCUCAAAGAGUGAAGCCACUGGUGUUUUUCCCCCCAAGCUUUCACACUAAAGCUAAUCCAAAAACAGCAUGCUUAGAAGAGGUGGGUUUUUUAAAAGCCCCAUAGACUCUCCUACUCUUUCAAGGAGGGAAUGCGGGCUCGAUUACGCUGAAAUGUUUAUUACACCACACAUAAUAUAUGCUGUAUUUUAUGACAAACAGCCUACUUUAUUAUGCAGACUGCUGAAUGUAUUUUUCCAUAUGCAGACGUAUCAAACCGAGAAGCCAUGUCAUUAUCCCCCUACUGCUCGUGUAUUUAGUAUUCCAUGCGUCUAUGUUCGAUCUGGGGAGGGAAAACCGUAAAAAGAGGCUGACUAUAGAAGAUAACGUAAAUAGUUGGCAGAGCAGAGAAAGGAAAUUGAGAACAAGCUCAAA